RNAcentral lists this ribosomal RNA (750 nucleotides) under uncultured bacterium. Its description in RNAcentral is "bacterial SSU rRNA". It matches the Rfam family "Bacterial small subunit ribosomal RNA", at positions 31 to 780 of the family's 1533-position model. The record is from RNAcentral.
GGAAGGGGGCGCGUGCUUACCAUGGCAGUCGAACGGGGAUGCUUAUGGAAGGAGUGCUUGCACUUUGGAAAUGAGUAUCUUAGUGGCGGACGGGUGAGUAACGCGUGGGUAACCUGCCCCAUACCGGGGGAUACCACCUGGAAACAGGUGCUAAUACCGCAUAAGCGCACGGGAGCGCAUGCUCCUGUGUGAAAAACUCCGGUGGUAUGGGAUGGACCCGCGUCUGAUUAGCCAGUUGGUAGGGUAACGGCCUACCAAAGCGACGAUCAGUAGCCGGCCUGAGAGGGUGGACGGCCACAUUGGGACUGAGACACGGCCCAAACUCCUACGGGAGGCAGCAGUGGGGAAUAUUGCACAAUGGGGGAAACCCUGAUGCAGCGACGCCGCGUGAGUGAAGAAGUAUUUCGGUAUGUAAAGCUCUAUCAGCAGGAACGAGACAAGACGGUACCUGACUAAGAAGCCCCGGCUAACUACGUGCCAGCAGCCGCGGUAAUACGUAGGGGGCAAGCGUUAUCCGGAAUCACUGGGUGUAAAGGGAGCGUAGACGGCUGAGCAAGCCUGAAGUGAAAGGCGGGGGCCCAACCCCUGGACUGCUUUGGGAACUGUACGGCUGGAGUGCAGGAGAGGUAAGUGGAAUUCCUAGUGUAGCGGUGAAAUGCGUAGAUAUUAGGAGGAACACCAGUGGCGAAGGCGGCUUACUGGACUGUAACUGACGUUGAGGCUCGAAAGCGUGGGGAGCAAACAGGAUUA